This 796-nucleotide ribosomal RNA is filed under the name Streptomyces sp. qf15-11. Its description in RNAcentral is "bacterial SSU rRNA". It matches the Rfam family "Bacterial small subunit ribosomal RNA", at positions 56 to 866 of the family's 1533-position model. The record is from RNAcentral. Lineage: Bacteria; Bacillati; Actinomycetota; Actinomycetes; Kitasatosporales; Streptomycetaceae.
UGCAAGUCGAACGAUGAACCACUUCGGUGGGGAUUAGUGGCGAACGGGUGAGUAACACGUGGGCAAUCUGCCCUGCACUCUGGGACAAGCCCUGGAAACGGGGUCUAAUACCGGAUACUGAUCCUCACGGGCAUCUGUGAGGGUCGAAAGCUCCGGCGGUGCAGGAUGAGCCCGCGGCCUAUCAGCUAGUUGGUGAGGUAAUGGCUCACCAAGGCGACGACGGGUAGCCGGCCUGAGAGGGCGACCGGCCACACUGGGACUGAGACACGGCCCAGACUCCUACGGGAGGCAGCAGUGGGGAAUAUUGCACAAUGGGCGAAAGCCUGAUGCAGCGACGCCGCGUGAGGGAUGACGGCCUUCGGGUUGUAAACCUCUUUCAGCAGGGAAGAAGCGAAAGUGACGGUACCUGCAGAAGAAGCGCCGGCUAACUACGUGCCAGCAGCCGCGGUAAUACGUAGGGCGCAAGCGUUGUCCGGAAUUAUUGGGCGUAAAGAGCUCGUAGGCGGCUUGUCACGUCGGUUGUGAAAGCCCGGGGCUUAACCCCGGGUCUGCAGUCGAUACGGGCAGGCUAGAGUUCGGUAGGGGAGAUCGGAAUUCCUGGUGUAGCGGUGAAAUGCGCAGAUAUCAGGAGGAACACCGGUGGCGAAGGCGGAUCUCUGGGCCGAUACUGACGCUGAGGAGCGAAAGCGUGGGGAGCGAACAGGAUUAGAUACCCUGGUAGUCCACGCCGUAAACGGUGGGCACUAGGUGUGGGCAACAUUCCACGUUGUCCGUGCCGCAGCUAACGCAUUAAGUG